Molecule: non-coding RNA, 25 nt
Filed under: Drosophila melanogaster (fruit fly)
Lineage: Eukaryota; Metazoa; Arthropoda; Insecta; Diptera; Drosophilidae
Source: RNAcentral
AUUUCCCUCGACGAGAAGCAGCAAG